GUGGCAGGCUGCUUUAUCGCUCUUUGCUGACAAAGAGAGGAAAGUCCGGGCAACGCAGGGCGCCGUGCUUCCUAACAGGAAGAUCUCCGAAAGGGGAUAUCAGCGUAACAGAAAAUAACCACCCCGAUUAAUCGGGGAACGGGUGAAAAGGUGGGGUAAAAGCCCACCGGUGGUUGUGGCAACACAAUCAGCCGUACGCCUCACGGGUUGCAAAGCCAAAUAUAUCCCGAUUGUGCGGCUGUUGCAUCGCAGCGGAGUUGCCCGCUCCGUUUCCGAAAUCUCAACUCGGAGUGUCGGGAGGGGUAGGCUGCAGGAUCCCGUCAGCGAUGACGGGGCAAGAUAAAUGAUAAAGGUUUCCGGUGAAAACCGAAAAUACAGAACCCGGCUUACAAGCCUGCCAUUUUU
Molecule: RNase P RNA, 405 nt
Filed under: Bacteroidales bacterium
Lineage: Bacteria; Pseudomonadati; Bacteroidota; Bacteroidia; Bacteroidales
Description: RNase P RNA component class A
Rfam family: Bacterial RNase P class A
About the family: Ribonuclease P (RNase P) is a ubiquitous endoribonuclease, found in archaea, bacteria and eukarya as well as chloroplasts and mitochondria.
Source: RNAcentral